This 244-nucleotide ribosomal RNA is filed under the name uncultured bacterium. RNAcentral describes it as "partial 16S ribosomal RNA". It matches the Rfam family "Bacterial small subunit ribosomal RNA", at positions 91 to 334 of the family's 1533-position model. The record is from RNAcentral.
CGGACCGGCGCACGGGUGAGUAACGCGUAUGCAACUUGCCUAUCAGAGGGGGAUAACCCGGCGAAAGUCGGACUAAUACCGCAUGAAGCAGGGGCCCCGCAUGGGGAUAUUUGCUAAAGAUUCAUCGCUGAUAGAUAGGCAUGCGUUCCAUUAGGCAGUUGGCGGGGUAACGGCCCACCAAACCGACGAUGGAUAGGGGUUCUGAGAGGAAGGUCCCCCACAUUGGUACUGAGACACGGACCAA